UCUCUGGUGAUCCAGUGGCUAAGACUCUGUCCUUCCAAUGCAGAGGGUGCAGGUUUGAUGCCUGCUCAGGGAA
RNAcentral lists this transfer RNA (73 nucleotides) under Capra hircus (goat). It matches the Rfam family "tRNA". Rfam says of the family: Transfer RNA (tRNA) molecules are approximately 80 nucleotides in length. Lineage: Eukaryota; Metazoa; Chordata; Mammalia; Artiodactyla; Bovidae. RNAcentral also lists the same sequence under 1 other name. The record is from Rfam by way of RNAcentral.